AUUGAACGCUGGCGGCACGCCUAACACAUGCAAGUCGAGCGGUAGCAUGGUUUGUAGCAAUACAGACUGAUGACGAGCGGCGGACGGGUGAGGAACACGUAGGAAUCUACCCUCAAGCGGGGAUAACCAAGGAAACUUUGGCUAAUACCGCAUAAUCUCGGGAGAGGAAAGCUACCGCAAGGGCGGCACUUGAGGAGGAGCCUGCGUCCGAUUAGCUAGUUGGCAGGUAAAAGCCUACCAAGGCGAUGAUCGGUAACUGGUCUGAGAGGACGACCAGUCACACUGGGACUGAGACACGGCCCAGACUCCUACGGGAGGCAGCAGUGGGGAAUAUUGGACAAUGGGGCAACCCGUGAUCCAGCGAUGCCGCGUGAGUGGAGAAGGCCCUCGGGUCGUAAAGCUCUUUAGGCCGGGAAGAAGGGUGUGAGGUUCAUAGCCUUGCACUUUGACGGUACCGGCAGAAUAAGCACCGGCAAACUCUGUGCCAGCAGCCGCGGUAAUACAGAGGGUGCGAGCGUUAAUCGGAAUUACUGGGUGUAAAGGGCGCGUAGGCGGCAGGAUGUGUGUGAUGUGAAAAGCCCCGGGCGUUAACCUGGGAAGUGCAUUGCAAACUGUCCGGCUAGAGUAUAUGAGAGGGUGGCGGAAUUUCCGGUGUAGCGGUGAAAUGCGUAGAGAUCGGAAGGAACGUCAAUGGCGAAGGCAGCCAC
RNAcentral lists this ribosomal RNA (707 nucleotides) under uncultured bacterium. RNAcentral's name for it is "bacterial SSU rRNA". It matches the Rfam family "Bacterial small subunit ribosomal RNA", at positions 28 to 728 of the family's 1533-position model. The record is from RNAcentral.